RNAcentral lists this unclassified non-coding RNA (238 nucleotides) under uncultured fungus. Its description in RNAcentral is "sequence contains ITS1, 5.8S rRNA gene". The record is from RNAcentral. Lineage: Eukaryota; Fungi.
UUGAAAUAAACCUGAUAGGUUGUUGCUGGCUCUUUCGGGAGCAUGUGCACGCUUGUCAUCUUUAUAUUUCCACCUGUGCACCUUUUGUAGAUCUGGAUAUCGUUCUGAAUGCCCUGGUAUUCAGGUUUGAGGAUUGACUUUUGUCUUUCUUUACAUUUUCAGGUCUAUGUUUUCUUCAUAUACACCAUGUAUGUUAUAGAAUGUAUUGAGAAAAGGCUUUUAUGCCUACAAAUCUAUA